This 346-nucleotide RNase P RNA is filed under the name Reinekea forsetii. Its description in RNAcentral is "bacterial RNase P class A". It matches the Rfam family "Bacterial RNase P class A". Rfam says of the family: Ribonuclease P (RNase P) is a ubiquitous endoribonuclease, found in archaea, bacteria and eukarya as well as chloroplasts and mitochondria. Its best characterised activity is the generation of mature 5'-ends of tRNAs by cleaving the 5'-leader elements of precursor-tRNAs. Cellular RNase Ps are ribonucleoproteins. Lineage: Bacteria; Pseudomonadati; Pseudomonadota; Gammaproteobacteria; Oceanospirillales; Saccharospirillaceae. The record is from RNAcentral.
GGAGACAGCUAGACAGUCGCCGCUUGCUUGCAAGGGGAGGAAAGUCCGGGCUCCAUAGGGUAAGGUGCCAGUUAACGGCUGGGCGGCGUGAGCCGACGGAAAGUGCAACAGAGAAGAGACCGCCAGAUGGGCAACCGUUUGGUAAGGGUGAAACGGUGCGGUAAGAGCGCACCGCGACUCUGGUAACAGAGUUGGCAUGGCAAACCCCACCUGGAGCAAGACCAAAUAGGGUUCCAUUAAGGCGUGACCCGCGCUGGAACCGGGUAGGUCGCUUGACUGUGUGAGCGAUUACACGGCUAGAUGAAUGACUGUCCACGACAGAACCCGGCUUAUCGGCUGUCUCCCA